ACUCAUGCCUUAUAGGGGAAAUACCAUGUUGUAAGAGUGGUUUUCCAAGGGGGAAAGGUUCAUCCAUUGCACUUCAGGUGUGCUGCUGAUCCCUGUGAUUGCCCCAAAUGUGGGGAACUCAUCUGCAUAAGUUGUGUUAAUGGGAGAUUGCACUUGUGAUUAACCCUG
This 168-nucleotide small nuclear RNA is filed under the name Pogona vitticeps (central bearded dragon). RNAcentral describes it as "U1 spliceosomal RNA (ENSPVIG00000000311.1)". It matches the Rfam family "U1 spliceosomal RNA". From Rfam's summary of the family: U1 is a small nuclear RNA (snRNA) component of the spliceosome (involved in pre-mRNA splicing). Its 5' end forms complementary base pairs with the 5' splice junction, thus defining the 5' donor site of an intron. Lineage: Eukaryota; Metazoa; Chordata; Lepidosauria; Squamata; Agamidae. The record is from RNAcentral.